UACGAAGGGGGCUAGCGUUGCUCGGAUUGACUGGGCGUAAAGGGCGCGUAGGCGGUUCGUACAGUCAGACGUGAAAUUCCUGGGCUCAACCUGGGGGCUGCGUUUGAUACGUGCGGACUUGAGUGCGGAAGAGGGUCGUGGAAUUCCCAGUGUAGAGGUGAAAUUCGUAGAUAUUGGGAAGAACACCGGUGGCGAAGGCGGCAUCCUGGACCAACACUGACACUGAGGAGCGAAAGCCAGGGGAGCAAACGGG
RNAcentral lists this ribosomal RNA (253 nucleotides) under uncultured bacterium. RNAcentral describes it as "partial 16S ribosomal RNA". It matches the Rfam family "Bacterial small subunit ribosomal RNA", at positions 524 to 776 of the family's 1533-position model. The record is from RNAcentral.